RNAcentral lists this unclassified non-coding RNA (223 nucleotides) under uncultured Gammaproteobacteria bacterium. RNAcentral describes it as "contains 16S-23S intergenic spacer region". The record is from RNAcentral. Lineage: Bacteria; Pseudomonadati; Pseudomonadota; Gammaproteobacteria.
UCCGAUUUGUCACCGGCGGUCUCCCUAGAGUGCCCAACUGAAUGAUGGCAACUAGGGACAAGGGUUGCGCUCGUUGCGGGACUUAACCCAACAUCUCACGACACGAGCUGACGACAGCCAUGCAGCACCUGUCUCUCGGUUCCCGAAGGCACCAAGUCAUCUCUGGAAAGUUCCGUGGAUGUCAAGACCAGGUAAGGUGGGGAUGACGUGUGAGAGUACGUCC